Acipenser ruthenus (sterlet) is the source of this 1674-nucleotide long non-coding RNA. RefSeq lists it as uncharacterized. NCBI's taxonomy places the organism in Eukaryota, Metazoa, Chordata, Actinopteri, Acipenseriformes, Acipenseridae. The record is from RefSeq and is a predicted model, not a curated record. The transcript is spliced from 4 exons.
CAGAAUCGUGUUGUGUGUUUGUGCGGCUCACGGGCAUUUCAGAAUUCCAGAUCAUGAAAACGUUGCACGAGUUUGCAGCAAGUAGAUGAGCUCAGUCCAGUGCAGUCGAUCUUAAUUUUUAAUGAUGAAAACAAAUGUGUUUUUCAAACCGAGAGGGUUCUCAUCUCUCCACAUGGCAUGAAUGUUUACCAGCAAUGCUUUCUGGGAGUCUGUGAUUAUGACAAGCAGGGUAAACAAUUGGAAAGUGCUGCUGAACAGUGGACAUCCGUUUCUGUAAAUCACAAGGACAUCCAUGGCGUUCUCCGAGAAAGAAUGUUUUGGAAAAAUUGGGAACAUGCAACAGAAGCGAUAUGAAAGUGAGAAAAAGAUGUUGGAGCUAGAAAAGCAGCUGUUUGCAUAUAGCAGAUCUGAUGAGCGAAUGUGGCGUAUGAGCCUCAGAUUCAGAAGCGAUCAUCAGCUGGGAAACAUGACACUGAGUUAAGAAGAGAGCAGAAAGGAGCAUGUACGGACCAGAGGGUUCAUCCAUCAAAAGUGGAGCAGCUGAGAAAGCUACAGGAUUCCAGCCAACACACCAGAAAGAGGGGUGCAGCUGCUUUCAGUGGGGGUCCUCCUUCGAAAGCCAAUGUAACAUGAGGCUACUUUCAAGCAACUGUUUCAGGCAACGACAUUGUCAAGCACUUUCCUCCAAGUUGCUCAAAACUAGAUCAUUUUGAUUUUGUUGCAACGUAAAAUCAUGUUAUUUAUGUUAUAGCUUAGUUAAAUUAUUUCACAGAGUUGCCCCGUAUUAGCGGAGAGUGAAGCAGGUACAAUUUAGGGGCAACUGUUGUCACCUAGUGCCACCAAGUUGAAUGUGUACAAUGUUACACAUAAUGUUUUUUUAUGUAGUACAAUGUAUUCUUAUGUUUGACAAACCAUGUAAAUCGACGUGUUUAAAGGUGUCUGCUAAAUUACUAAUUAACUACUAAAUAAUAAGACCCUUUUAACCCUUUGCGGUCCUAUGUCAGACGUAAAAAACAGGUCUCUUGUCGUUUUUUCUCCGGAAAAAGCCGAGAAAACCAUUCAAUGGCCGAGUGAGACCGAUAGGAGCCGAGAGAAGCCGAAAAAAAAUAAAAGGGGCGUAUCUCAUGAAUACAGAUACCCCCGACACCACAUAGAUAACACGGACAUAAGCAAACAAGAUAGCUGCUUCUGCAUCCAGCGCUCAAAGAAUAUCACAGACAUUUUUAAAGCUUUUUUUAGAUGUUAUAGUAAUAAAAUAAUGACUUGGAUCACAUUAUUGAGGAGUUUGGUGAUAAAAUGAGUGAUCAGGAGAUGAUUUAUCGGUAUGCACGACUAUGUAUGUGAAAAAUACAGCGAACAAGGGGUGGUGCAGGGCUGGAGUGUCCUGUUGAUAUGCAGUGCCUUUUAAACCUGUUUUACUGUGACAGUUAAUUCUUCAAUAAAAAAAUAACUGACUUAAUAUUUAAUUUUAUUAUUACGACAACGGUAAUGCAUUUAUUUAUUCUAUUAAUUCAUAUAUUGUAUUUAAUCAAAUUAAUCUGUUUAGUCUUUAAAUUAAUACAUUGUAUUUCACUUAAAAUGUUUCUAUUUUGUUUAUGAAUAUAUUGUAUUUGAUUAUAAAUUAAAGCAUUUUCUGUUUUUUAAUUGAAUGAUUAGUAAUAAAUAUCUGUUAUA